This 177-nucleotide ribosomal RNA is filed under the name uncultured Gemella sp. Its description in RNAcentral is "partial 16S ribosomal RNA". It matches the Rfam family "Bacterial small subunit ribosomal RNA", at positions 355 to 524 of the family's 1533-position model. Lineage: Bacteria; Bacillati; Bacillota; Bacilli; Caryophanales; Gemellaceae. The record is from RNAcentral.
UAGGGAAUCUUCCGCAAUGGGCGAAAGCCUGACGGAGCAACGCCGCGUGAGUGAAGAAGGAUUUCGGUUCGUAAAGCUCUGUUGUUAGGGAAAAAUGAUUGUGUAGUAACUAUACACAGUAGAGACAGUACCUAACCAGAAAGCCACGGCUAACUACGUGCCAGCAGCCGCGGUAAU